UACGGGAGGCAGCAGUAGGGAAUUUUCGGCAAUGGGGGAAACCCUGACCGAGCAACGCCGCGUGAAGGAAGAAGUAAUUCGUUAUGUAAACUUCUGUCAUAGAGGAAGAACGGUGGAUAUAGGGAAUGAUAUCCAAGUGACGGUACUCUAUAAGAAAGCCACGGCUAACUACGUGCCAGCAGCCGCGGUAAUACGUAGGUGGCGAGCGUUAUCCGGAAUUAUUGGGCGUAAAGAGGGAGCAGGCGGCACUAAGGGUCUGUGGUGAAAGAUCGAAGCUUAACUUCGGUAAGCCAUGGAAACCGUAGAGCUAGAGUGUGUGAGAGGAUCGUGGAAUUCCAUGUGUAGCGGUGAAAUGCGUAGAUAUAUGGAGGAACACCAGUGGCGAAGGCGACGAUCUGGCGCAUAACUGACGCUCAGUCCCGAAAGCGUGGGCAGCAAAGAGGAUUAGAUCCCCUAGUAGUCCACGCCGUAAACGAUGAGUAGUAAGUGGUGGGAGUCAAAUCUCAGUGCUGCAGAUAACGCAAUAAGUCCUCCGCCUGAGUAGUACGUUCGCAAGAAUGAAACUCAAAGGAAUUGACGGGGGCCCGCACAAGCGGUGGAGCAUGUGGUUUAAUUAGAAGCAACGCGAAGAACCUUACCAGGUCUCGACAUCGAUCUAAAGGCUCCAGAGAUGGAGAGAUAGCUAUAGAGAAGACAGGUGGUGCAUGGUUGUCGUCAGCUCGUGUCGUGAGAUGUUGGGUUAAGUCCCGCAACGAGCGCAACCCCUGUUUCCAGUUGCCAGCAUUAAGUUGGCGACUCUGGCGAGACUGCCGGUGACAAGCCGGAGGAAGGCGGGGAGGACGUCAAAUCAUCAUCCCCCUUAUGACCUGGCUACACACGUGCUACAAUGGACAGAGCAGAGGGAAGCGAAGCCGCGAGGUGGAGCGAAACCCAUAAAACUGUUCUCAGUUCGGACUGCAGUCUGCAACUCGACUGCACGAAGAUGGAAUCGCUAGUAAUCGCGAAUCAGCAUGUCGCGGUGAAUACGUUCUCGGGCCUUGCACU
RNAcentral lists this ribosomal RNA (1044 nucleotides) under uncultured bacterium. Its description in RNAcentral is "bacterial SSU rRNA". It matches the Rfam family "Bacterial small subunit ribosomal RNA", at positions 340 to 1387 of the family's 1533-position model. The record is from RNAcentral.